GGGGGCGCUGCAGUUCUAACUGUGCUCCAAGAAACACCAACGAAUGAACGACGGUCCGAAGGGAGAAGAGGACGGAGCCGCUGAACGGAGCCGGAUUUACCGGCAGAUUAGUAACGGGCUGCUAGAGAGCGACUCGUUAGCUCUAGUAGCCUGGUUAGCUGUGUUAGCUCUAGUAGCCUGGUGAGCUGUGUUAGCUCUAGUAGCCUGGUUAACUUGUGUUAGCUCUAGUAGCCUGGUCAGCUGUGUUAGCUCUAGUAGCCUGGUUAGCUGUGUUAGCUCUAGUAGACUGGAUAGCUGUGUUAGCUCUAGUAGCCUGGUUAGCUGUGUUAGCUCUAGUAGCCUGGAUAGCUGUGUUAGCUCUAGUAGCCUGGUUAACUUGCGUUAGCUCUCGUAGCCUGGUUAGCUGUGUUAGCGCUAGUAGUCUGGUUAGCUGUGUUAGCUCUAGUAGCCUGGUUAGCUGUGUUAGCUCUAGUAGCAUGGUUAGCUAUGUUAGCUCUAGUAGCCUGGUUAACUUGUGUUAGGUCUAGUAGCCUGGUUAGCUGUGUUAGCUCCAGUAGCCUGGUUAGCUGUGUUAGCUCUAGUAGCCUGGUUAGCUGUGUUAGCUCCAGUAGCCUGGUUAGCUGUGUUAGCUCUAGUAACCUGGUUAGCUGUGGUAGCUCUAGUAGCCUGGUUAGCUGUAUUAGCUCUAGUAGCCUGGAUAGCUGUGUUAGCUCUAGUAGCCUGGUUAACUUGUGUUAGCUCCAGUAGCCUGGUCAGCUGUGUUAGCUCUAGUAGCCUGGUUAGCUGUGGUAGCUCUAGUAGCCUGGUUAGCUGUGUUAGCUCUAGUAGCCUGGAUAGCUGUGUUAGCUCUAGUAGCCUGGUUAGCUGUGUUAGCUCCAGUAGCCUGGUUAGCUGUGUUAGCUCUAGUAGCCUGGUUAGCUGUGUUAGCUCUAGUAGCCUGGUUAGCUGUGUUAGCUCUAGUAACCUGGUUAGCUGUGUUAGCUCUAGUAGCCUGGUUAGCUGUGUUAGCUCUAGUAGCCUGAUUAACUUGUGUUAGCUCUAGUAACCUGGUUAGCUGUGUUAGCUCUAGUAGCCUGGUUAGCUGUGUUAGCUCUAGUAGCCUGAUUAACUUGUGUUAGCUCUAGUAGCCUGGUUAGUUGUGUUAGCUCUAGUAACCUGGUUAGCUGUGUUAGCUCCAGUAGCCUGGUUAGCUGUGUUAGCUCUAGUAGCCUGAUUAACUUGUGUUAGCUCUAGUAACCUGGUUAGCUUUGUUAGCUCCAUUAGCCUGGUUAGCUGUGGUAGCUCUAGUAGCCUGGUUAACUUGUGUUAGAUCCAGUAGCCUGGUUAGCUGUGUUAGCUCCAGUAGCCUGGUUAGCUCUAGUAGCCUGGUUAACUUGUGUUAGCUCUAGUAGCCUGGUUAGCUGUGUUAGCUCUAGUAGCCUGGUUAGCUGUGUUAGCUCUAGUAGCCUGGUUAGCUGUGUUAGCUCUAGUAGCCUGGUUAGCUGUGUUAGCUCUAGUAGCCUGGUUAACUUGUGUUAGCUCUCGUAGCCU
Molecule: long non-coding RNA, 1530 nt
Organism: Amphiprion ocellaris (clown anemonefish)
Lineage: Eukaryota; Metazoa; Chordata; Actinopteri; Pomacentridae
Source: Ensembl